GAUUAUUUCAAGAGAUUUUUUUCAAAAAGAGGGUGACUUUGGCACAGGUUCUGCACAUUAGCUGCAUCUCCACUAGGGAAGAAGAACAUCGGGCAGACUUGGUGUGCAGAAUGGCAGCAUUUGGGGUUCCUGUCACAACUGAAGACAGAUCUCUCCAAGGAGUCCUCUUUCCAUUAUUUUUAUCCGUCACAGGGACGGAAAUCCUGCUGAAGUCCUGCUUCUUGGCUCGCUUUGCAGCUCAGCCUCCUUGGGGACACUCACUCCGAUGGCCAACCUUGAGGUGGCGUAGCAGCACGACAUGGUUUGUAGAGAAAAGAAGAUACAGACCGUUCUGGGCUGCCUCAUGACCUCAAGGGUUAAGUCCAAGAUAGACGAUUGUCAGACUCAUCCAAGACCAUCCCAAACUUUCUCUUAGCUUACCUGGUGAGGUAUGUAUAAAUAUGAAUUCUUUCAGUGGAUUCUCCCUUUAAGCUGCACAUUCUGCGUCAAAGAGAAUAUGGCACAUAGACUGUAGCAUCUGCCUUAACUUUCCUUCUCCUUUCCUACCCUCAAAAGUGGAACAAAUAUUGGGAAAUUAUUUCAGCAUCACCUCAACCAUGAGGGUCUGAUGUAUGGGCACAGCAGGGCCUUCUCUUAGUCCAGAAUGUUGGGAAUGGGAUAGAAAUGCAAAGAAGAAACCCAGGCUGUCCAAGCUCUAAUGGCAUUUAAAAGCUGAUAGCAUCUCUCCUGAACUUUUUCAUCCCCAGCAGAACUGAGCCCUGGGUUGCAGGCUUCUGGCAGAAUAAUACAUUUUCUUGGAAGUAGAGCUUUAAGUUCCUUAGAGCUACUCCCAGGUCAGAAGGCAUAAGUUUUCAAACUGAAUUGUCCCCCAAAAUUUAAAAGUCAGCCUCUCUAUGAAUCUCUUUUCAUUGGCACCUUGUUUUCUCGCGCCGGGGGGGGGGGCGCAGAAACGGAAAAGUCUGUCUGCUCUGCUUUAGCAGCACGUAAAUACUGGAGUUUAGAUGCUCUGCCCUCCAGUAUUGCUUUGCUGCUUUAGUCAAGCUGGCACAUGCUCCAGGGAAUUGCUCUGUGGGGCCUUAAAACAAUGCCGAGAGGUUGCUCAUUGUCCCGUGGCUUGUAAAACAUCUGCCCUCUUGGUGUUUCAGGCGAGGGUUUUAGGAUGGGGUGGGGGAGUUGGGAUUCUACCCACAUAAACCAACAGCCCUCUCCCUGUACUUGAGUAGGAAACAUUCUCCCCCAGCAUGAGAGUCAGAGGCAGCAUCGCCUGAGCUCAAGUCACCUGCAUCUUUGAAAAACCAACGGUUUUCUGUUAGGGUUUGUACUUGAUGUUCAGGGAACUGUCUUCCCCUGUGAGAGAGUUUAGGGAACUACGCCACGGUGGGCUUGCCAAGACCAGCGAGCAAACUUAGGGCUGCUGAUUGUGGGAGGAGAGGCUAUGGAUAUCGUAGCACAGUCCGGCUAAGCUGUUGUCGGCUUUCUUAAUCUGCGUGGGUGGGAAGCUGCCUCUGAACCUUCUGUGGAAGAAGGCAAUUGAAUGUUUGAGGGAUCGCCUGGCCUCCAAAGGGCACCCCUGUGCAAUUUAGCUGAUUGGAUUCCUGUAUCCUACUAAGCGGUGGCUUAUUUCAUCAGUGUUUUUGGAUAAACCACAAUUGGCUGGGUUUAUAUACUGUGGUGUACAAAAGUCAACGAACCAACCGUCCAGCCAUAAAAUGGCUUGACGUGAUGGUCUAGUUCAGGAUUUUCAAACUGUCUUCCACAGAACCUGAGGGAGAAAAACGAUGACAAGAUUCCCUAGUAAAAGUUGUGAGGGGUCCUCCUGGUGCAAGGAGAUAUAAUACCAUUUUAUAAAACUAACAUUUGUAUUAACUAUCUGGUGUGAAUUGAUUAUUGUGCGACUGCCCCGUAUCUGAAGUAUUGGGGUGACAUAACUGGAAGUUCCUGCCUUUCAGGGCAUAUCGAAGCAGUCUAUAAAACUGAGCUGCAGCCAGAAGCUCAACAGUUAGGUUUGCACGUUGCCUAGCCAUUGUUUAUUGAAUAGACCACAGCUGCCUAGGUUUGCAGGACAAGCUGAACCACAAUUUACUUAUUAUAAUGGCUUCAUGCAACAUUUUAAGCCAUAAAGCGUUUUGUCUGGUUUUGGCUUAUCCUGGCGUGCAAACUCAGCCUCGUCCUCCAAACUGACUGACACUAAAUAGACUGAAACGUCUUGGGCUCCAGUUUGAAGAGGCAGGAAUCCGAUGGCCCCUUUGCCUUGUAAGAAACCCAGUUAGUCUGACAAACGGGCCA
This is a non-coding RNA of Python bivittatus (Burmese python), 2286 nucleotides long. The record is from RefSeq and is a predicted model, not a curated record. NCBI's taxonomy places the organism in Eukaryota, Metazoa, Chordata, Lepidosauria, Squamata, Pythonidae.